AUUGAACGCUGGCGGCAGGCCUAACACAUGCAAGUCGAACGGUAACAGGAAACAGCUUGCUGUUUCGCUGACGAGUGGCGGACGGGUGAGUAAUGUCUGGGAAACUGCCUGAUGGAGGGGGAUAACUACUGGAAACGGUAGCUAAUACCGCAUAACGUCGCAAGACCAAAGAGGGGGACCUUCGGGCCUCUUGCCAUCGGAUGUGCCCAGAUGGGAUUAGCUAGUAGGUGGGGUAACGGCUCACCUAGGCGACGAUCCCUAGCUGGUCUGAGAGGAUUACCAGCCACACUGGAACUGAGACACGGCCCAGACUCCUACGGGAGGCAGCAGUGGGGAAUAUUGCACAAUGGGCGCAAGCCUGAUGCAGCCAUGCCGCGUGUAUGAAGAAGGCCUUCGGGUUGUAAAGUACUUUCAGCGGGGAGGAAGGGAGUAAAGUUAAUACCUUUACUCAUUGACGUUACCCGCAGAAGAAGCACCGGCUAACUCCGUG
RNAcentral lists this ribosomal RNA (490 nucleotides) under uncultured bacterium. RNAcentral's name for it is "partial 16S ribosomal RNA". It matches the Rfam family "Bacterial small subunit ribosomal RNA", at positions 30 to 507 of the family's 1533-position model. The record is from RNAcentral.